AGGUUUGUGGCCUAGUGGGUUAAGGCGUCAAUGCUAUAGCUCGGGGGUCGAGGGUUCGAAUCCCACCAAAUCUU
Molecule: transfer RNA, 74 nt
Filed under: Acyrthosiphon pisum (pea aphid)
Lineage: Eukaryota; Metazoa; Arthropoda; Insecta; Hemiptera; Aphididae
Rfam family: tRNA
About the family: Transfer RNA (tRNA) molecules are approximately 80 nucleotides in length. Their secondary structure includes four short double-helical elements and three loops (D, anti-codon, and T loops).
Source: Rfam by way of RNAcentral